Molecule: unclassified non-coding RNA, 115 nt
Filed under: uncultured Ascomycota
Lineage: Eukaryota; Fungi; Ascomycota
Description: sequence contains ITS2
Source: RNAcentral
AAACCAUAGACUUUGUCUGUUUUGGGGGUCGCUUUUUGGCGUCUCCUUGAAGUAAUUGCUGUCGAGCGGAUGAGUUCCAUUAGGACAAGGCCGUUUGACGUUCAAAACUUUCUCU